UGGAAGAGACCUCAGAAUUGUUGAAAGAUCAAAUACCAAGGCAGUGGCAAAUGAAGGCUCACUUUCUGUAUUCUUCUAUUACAUCUUCCAAUCCAGCUUUGCUAGGAGAGAAAGGGAAGAUGGUGGACAUCUGACAUUUGGUGAAGCUCUUGGUUGUAUAUCACAGAAUGCUAACUGGAAAUGAAUUCCUAUUGGUUUGCUUAUGAGAAUAGUCCAGCAGAUUGAAUUGGAAGAUUAUGGGUCCAGUAAACAAAGAGCUGUGAAUGUUUGGAUCCCUCCAAGCAAGGAGUGCUGGCCUCUCCCAGUUAUUCUGGGUACUGCAAUGAUAAAGGAAAGUAAGGUCACAUCAUCAAAUCUCUGCCAAGGGAAACACAUCUAAUGGCGAGACGGCAUGUCUGAAGCAAAUGGAUAAAAAUCUCAUUUCCAAGCUAUUGGAUCCAAAAUUAUGCAGAUUAAAAUCAAAUCC
Molecule: long non-coding RNA, 466 nt
Filed under: Vombatus ursinus (common wombat)
Lineage: Eukaryota; Metazoa; Chordata; Mammalia; Diprotodontia; Vombatidae
Description: lncRNA (ENSVURG00010003589.1)
Source: RNAcentral